This 253-nucleotide ribosomal RNA is filed under the name uncultured bacterium. RNAcentral describes it as "partial 16S ribosomal RNA". It matches the Rfam family "Bacterial small subunit ribosomal RNA", at positions 524 to 776 of the family's 1533-position model. The record is from RNAcentral.
UACGUAGGGUGCGAGCGUUGUCCGGAAUUACUAGGCGUAAAGAGCUCGUAGGUGGUUUGUCGCGUUGUUCGUGAAAUCUCACGGCUUAACUGUGAGCGUGCGGGCGAUACGGGCAGACUAGAGUACUGCAGGGGAGACUGGAAUUCCUGGUGUAGCGGUGGAAUGCGCAGAUAUCAGGAGGAACACCGGUGGCGAAGGCGGGUCUCUGGGCAGUAACUGACGCUGAGGCGCGAAAGCGUGGGGAGCAAACAGG